GGCAAUGGUGGUGUCACGCCCGGACGGUCUCGUGUGGGGGCAUCAGGGCAAUGCGGGUCGGACGAGCUGGAUGUCCGAGGGGCUUUCAUAUUCGAGGGGUUGUCCAGACUAUAUGCACGUUCUUGAUCCCUGCGGUGGAGCCAAGUGGCUAUCAGAGGACCAGCAUUGGACCCCCGCCGGCAUCUUACGUGGGUUGGCGCGGGCUCUGGUGCCUUUGCCGUGCCAACCUCGGAUGGGUCGGAGCAUGGCUGGAGCUCUGCCACGACAAGGCGCCAUCAUCUGGUCCGGUGCCCGGACGAAGAUAAAAGCAUGCGGGGACUCUGGCAAAGGCACAUGCAAA
Molecule: long non-coding RNA, 340 nt
Filed under: Elaeis guineensis (African oil palm)
Lineage: Eukaryota; Viridiplantae; Streptophyta; Magnoliopsida; Arecales; Arecaceae
Description: long non-coding RNA (EGUI_LNC055271)
Source: RNAcentral